RNAcentral lists this unclassified non-coding RNA (258 nucleotides) under Hevea brasiliensis (rubber tree). Lineage: Eukaryota; Viridiplantae; Streptophyta; Magnoliopsida; Malpighiales; Euphorbiaceae. The record is from RNAcentral.
GAGAAAGGUAUUGUGAGAAGAGAAGUGGUGGAUCUUUGCAUAAGGGAAGUAAUGGAAGGAGAGAAAGGGAAAGAAAUCAAGAACAAUGCAAGGAAAUGGAAGAAGUUAUCCAAAGAGGCAAUUGAUGAAGGUGGAACUUCAGACAGAAACAUAGAUGAAUUUGUGGCUACAUUAGUUAAAUCCUGAUGUUGUUUCACGUUCAACAACGUCCAAAGUUCUCUUCAUUGUAUGUCUGGAUUAUUAGCUAGAAGUGUUCGG